AGUCGAGCGAACGGAUGAGAAGCUUGCUUCUCUGAUGUUAGCGGCGGACGGGUGAGUAACACGUGGAUAACCUACCUAUAAGACUGGGAUAACUUCGGGAAACCGGAGCUAAUACCGGAUAAUAUUUUGAACCGCAUGGUUCAAAAGUGAAAGACGGUCUUGCUGUCACUUAUAGAUGGAUCCGCGCUGCAUUAGCUAGUUGGUAAGGUAACGGCUUACCAAGGCAACGAUGCAUAGCCGACCUGAGAGGGUGAUCGGCCACACUGGAACUGAGACACGGUCCAGACUCCUACGGGAGGCAGCAGUAGGGAAUCUUCCGCAAUGGGCGAAAGCCUGACGGAGCAACGCCGCGUGAGUGAUGAAGGUCUUCGGAUCGUAAAACUCUGUUAUUAGGGAAGAACAUAUGUGUAAGUAACUGUGCACAUCUUGACGGUACCUAUCAGAAAGCCACGGCUAACUACGUGCCAGCAGCCGCGGUAAUACGUAGGUGGCAAGCGUUAUCCGGAAUUAUUGGGCGUAAAGCGCGCGUAGGCGGUUUUUUAAGUCUGAUGUGAAAGCCCACGGCUCAACCGUGGAGGGUCAUUGGAAACUGGAAAACUUGAGUGCAGAGGAGGAAAGUGGAAUUCCAUGUGUAGCGGUGAAAUGCGCAGAGAUAUGGAAGAACACCAGUGGCGAAGGCGACUUUCUGGUCUGUAACUGACGCUGAUGUGCGAAAGCG
Molecule: ribosomal RNA, 718 nt
Filed under: uncultured Staphylococcus sp.
Lineage: Bacteria; Bacillati; Bacillota; Bacilli; Caryophanales; Staphylococcaceae
Description: bacterial SSU rRNA
Rfam family: Bacterial small subunit ribosomal RNA
Source: RNAcentral